GUGCGAAAGCGUGGGGAGCAACAAGAUUAGAUACCUGGUAGUUCACGCCGUAAAGAUGUCAACUAGCCGUUGGGACUCUUGAAGUCUUAGUGGCGCAGCUAACGCACUAAAGUUGACCGCCUGGGGGAGUACGGCCCGCAAGGUUAAAACUCAAAUGAAUUGACGGGGGCCCGCACAAAGCGGUGGAGCAUGUGGUUUAAUUCGACGCAACGCGAAAGAACCUUACCUGGCCUUGACAUCCAGAGAACUUUCCAGAGAUGGAUUGGUGCCUUCGGGAACUCUGAGACAGGUGCUGCAUGGCCGUCGUCAGCUCGUGUCGUGAGAUGUUGGGUUAAGUCCCGUAACGAGCGCAACCCCUAUACCUGGUUGCUAGCAGGUAAUGCUGAGAACUCCAGGGAGACUGCCGGUGACAAACCGGAGGAAGGUGGGGAUGACGUCAGGUCAUCAUGGCCCUUACGGCCAGGGCUACACACGUGCUACAAUGGCGCGUACAGAGGGCUGCCAACUCGCGAGAGUGAGCCAAUCCCUUAAAACGCGUCGUAGUCCGGAUCGGAGUCUGCAACUCGACUCCGUGAAGUCGGAAUCGCUAGUAAUCGCGAAUCAGAAUGUCGCGGUGAAUACGUUCCCGGGCCUUGUACACACCG
This 644-nucleotide ribosomal RNA is filed under the name Marinobacter sp. RNAcentral describes it as "bacterial SSU rRNA". It matches the Rfam family "Bacterial small subunit ribosomal RNA", at positions 751 to 1392 of the family's 1533-position model. Lineage: Bacteria; Pseudomonadati; Pseudomonadota; Gammaproteobacteria; Pseudomonadales; Marinobacteraceae. The record is from RNAcentral.